ACUACGGGGCGCUGCAGUGGGGAAUAUUGCACAAUGGGGGAAACCCUGAUGCAGCGACGCCGCGUGAGUGAAGAAGUAAUUCGUUAUGUAAAGCUCUAUCAGCAGGGAAGAAAAUGACGGUACCUGAGUAAGAAGCACCGGCUAACUACGUGCCAGCAGCCGCGGUAAUACGUAGGGGGCAAGCGUUAUCCGGAUUUACUGGGUGUAAAGGGAGCGUAGGCGGAAGUGCAAGUCUGCAGGGAAAGGCGGGGGCGCAACCCCGGGACUGCUCUGGAAACUGUACGGCUUGAGUACAGGAGAGGUAAGUGGAAUUCCUAGUGUAGCGGUGAAAUGCGUAGAUAUUAGGAGGAACACCAGUGGCGAAGGCGGCUUACUGGACUGUAACUGACGUUGAGGCUCGAAAGCGUGGGGAGCAAACAGGAUUAGAUACCCUGGUAGUC
RNAcentral lists this ribosomal RNA (440 nucleotides) under uncultured bacterium. Its description in RNAcentral is "partial 16S ribosomal RNA". It matches the Rfam family "Bacterial small subunit ribosomal RNA", at positions 338 to 795 of the family's 1533-position model. The record is from RNAcentral.